AGAGGUGUGGCUCAACUAGUAGAGUCCUUGCCUAGCAAGUAUGAGGCCCUGGGUUCAAACUCCAGUAUCACCA
Molecule: transfer RNA, 73 nt
Filed under: Dipodomys ordii (Ord's kangaroo rat)
Lineage: Eukaryota; Metazoa; Chordata; Mammalia; Rodentia; Heteromyidae
Rfam family: tRNA
About the family: Transfer RNA (tRNA) molecules are approximately 80 nucleotides in length. Their secondary structure includes four short double-helical elements and three loops (D, anti-codon, and T loops).
Source: Rfam by way of RNAcentral